RNAcentral lists this ribosomal RNA (572 nucleotides) under uncultured marine eukaryote. RNAcentral describes it as "SSU rRNA". It matches the Rfam family "Eukaryotic small subunit ribosomal RNA", at positions 622 to 1195 of the family's 1831-position model. The record is from RNAcentral.
AAAAGCUCGUAGUUGGAUCUCAACAGCCUUGAAGCGGUUAACUUUGUAGUUUUACUGCUUUAUAGGCUGUGCUUUUGCUGGAGGUUUAGGGGUGCUCUUGAUCGAGUGUCUCUGGAUGCCAGCAGGUUUACUUUGAAAAAAUUAGAGUGCUCAAAGCAGGCUAAAAUGCCUGAAUAUUCGUGCAUGGAAUAAUAGAAUAGGAUGUCGAUCCUAUUUUGUUGGUUUUCGGGACUCGACAUAAUGAUAAAUAGGGACAGUCGGGGGCAUUUGUAUUCAAACGACAGAGGUGAAAUUCUUGGACCGUUUGAAGACAAACUACUGCGAAAGCAUUUGCCAAGAAUGUUUUCAUUAAUCAAGAACGAAAGUUAGAGGUUCGAAGGCGAUUAGAUACCGCCCUAGUUCUAACCAUAAACGAUGCCAGCUAGCGAUCUGCCUGCGUUUUUACUGUAGACUGGGCAGGAAGCUUCCGGGAAACCAAAGCAUUUGGGUUCCAGGGGAAGUAUGGUUGCAAAGCUGAAACUUAAAGGAAUUGACGGAAGGGCACCACCAGGAGUGGAGCCUGUGGCUUAAUU